UACGAAGGGGGCUAGCGUUGCUCGGAAUCACUGGGCGUAAAGCGCGCGCAGGCGGUCCUUUAAGUCUGAUGUGAAAGCCCACGGCUCAACCGUGGAGGGUCAUUGGAAACUGGGGGACUUGAGUGCAGGAGAGAAGAGUGGAAUUCCUGGUGUAGCGGUGAAAUGCGCAGAUAUCAGGAGGAACACCGGUGGCGAAGGCGGGUCUCUGGGCCGAUACUGACGCUGAGGAGCGAAAGCGUGGGGAGCAAACAGG
Molecule: ribosomal RNA, 253 nt
Filed under: uncultured bacterium
Lineage: Bacteria
Description: partial 16S ribosomal RNA
Rfam family: Bacterial small subunit ribosomal RNA
Source: RNAcentral